GAUGAACGCUGGCGGCGUGCCUAAUACAUGCAAGUCGAGCGAACAGAUGAGGAGCUUGCUCCUCUGACGUUAGCGGCGGACGGGUGAGUAACACGUGGAUAACCUACCUAUAAGACUGGGAUAACUUCGGGAAACCGGAGCUAAUACCGGAUAAUAUAUUGAACCGCAUGGUUCAAUAGUGAAAGACGGUUUUGCUGUCACUUAUAGAUGGAUCCGCGCCGCAUUAGCUAGUUGGUAAGGUAACGGCUUACCAAGGCAACGAUGCGUAGCCGACCUGAGAGGGUGAUCGCCCACACUGGAACUGAGACACGUUCCAGACUCCUACGGGAGGCAGCAGUAGGGAAUCUUCCGCAAUGGGCCAAAGCCUGACGGAGCAACGCCGCGUGAGUGAUGAGGGUCUUCGGAUCGUAAAACUCUGUUAUUAGGGAAGAACAAAUGUGUAAGUAACUAUGCACGUCUUGACGGUACCUAAUCAGAAAGCCACGGCUAACUACGUG
This 497-nucleotide ribosomal RNA is filed under the name uncultured bacterium. RNAcentral's name for it is "partial 16S ribosomal RNA". It matches the Rfam family "Bacterial small subunit ribosomal RNA", at positions 28 to 507 of the family's 1533-position model. The record is from RNAcentral.